CACAUGCAAGUCGAGCGAAGCACUUGGCCAUUGACUCUUCGGAAGAUUUGGCAUUUGACUGAGCGGCGGACGGGUGAGUAACGCGUGGGUAACCUGCCUCAUACAGGGGAAUAACAGUUAGAAAUGGCUGCUAAUGCCGCAUAAGCGCACAGGACCGCAUGGUCUGGUGUGAAAAACUGAGGUGGUAUGAGAUGGGCCCGCGUCUGAUUAGGUAGUUGGCGGGGUAACGGCCCACCAAGCCGACGAUCAGUAGCCGACCUGAGAGGGUGACCGGCCACAUUGGGACUGAGACACGGCCCAGACUCCUACGGGAGGCAGCAGUGGGGAAUAUUGCACAAUGGAGGAAACUCUGAUGCAGCGACGCCGCGUGAAGGAAGAAGUAUCUCGGUAUGUAAACUUCUAUCAGCAGGGAAGAAAAUGACGGUACCUGACUAAGAAGCCCCGGCUAACUACGUACCAGCAGCCGCGGUAAUACGUAGGGGGCAAGCGUUAUCCGGAUUUACUGGGUGUAAAGGGAGCGUAGACGGACGGGCAAGUCUGAUGUGAAAGCCCGGGGCUUAACCCCGGGACUGCAUUGGAAACUGUCCAUCUUGAGUGCCGGAGAGGUAAGCGGAAUUCCUAGUGUAGCGGUGAAAUGCGUAGAUAUUAGGAGGAACACCAGUGGCGAAGGCGGCUUAC
RNAcentral lists this ribosomal RNA (678 nucleotides) under uncultured Lachnospiraceae bacterium. RNAcentral's name for it is "bacterial SSU rRNA". It matches the Rfam family "Bacterial small subunit ribosomal RNA", at positions 52 to 729 of the family's 1533-position model. The record is from RNAcentral. Lineage: Bacteria; Bacillati; Bacillota; Clostridia; Lachnospirales; Lachnospiraceae.